RNAcentral lists this ribosomal RNA (308 nucleotides) under uncultured bacterium. Its description in RNAcentral is "partial 16S ribosomal RNA". It matches the Rfam family "Bacterial small subunit ribosomal RNA", at positions 505 to 807 of the family's 1533-position model. The record is from RNAcentral.
GAGACAGCAGUCGCCGCGGGAAUACGAAGGGGGCUAGCGUUGUUCGGAUUUACUGGGCGUAAAGGGCGCGUAGGCGGACUGAUAAGUCAGGGGUGAAAUCCCAAGGCUCAACCUUGGAACUGCCUUUGAUACUGUUUGUCUUGAGUUCGAGAGAGGUAAGUAGAACUGCGAGUGUAGAGGUGAAAUUCGUUGAUAUUCGCAAGAACACCGGUGGCGAAGGCGGCUCACUGGUCCGGAACUGACGCUGAGGCACGACAGCGUGGGGAGCAAACAGGAUUAGAUACCCCGGUAGUCCCUGUCUCUUAUAC